This 253-nucleotide ribosomal RNA is filed under the name uncultured prokaryote. Its description in RNAcentral is "partial 16S ribosomal RNA". It matches the Rfam family "Bacterial small subunit ribosomal RNA", at positions 525 to 777 of the family's 1533-position model. The record is from RNAcentral.
ACAGAGGGGGCAAGCGUUGUUCGGAAUUACUGGGCGUAAAGGGCGCGUAGGCGGCCUUCUAAGUCGAACGUGAAAUCCCCGGGCUCAACCCGGGAACUGCGUCCGAUACUGGAAGGCUUGAAUCCGGGAGAGGGAUGCGGAAUUCCAGGUGUAGCGGUGAAAUGCGCAGAUAUCAGGAGGAACACCAAUUGCGAAGGCAGCUCGCUGGGACGUGACUGACGCUGAGACGCGAAAGCGUGGGGAGCAAACAGGA